Molecule: long non-coding RNA, 6449 nt
Filed under: Arabidopsis lyrata
Lineage: Eukaryota; Viridiplantae; Streptophyta; Magnoliopsida; Brassicales; Brassicaceae
Description: long non-coding RNA (ALYR_LNC003213)
Source: RNAcentral
GAAACCAUCAAGGAAAUCAAGCUGGACGGACCAGACCCAGACAAGACCACUUCAGCCUCAAGCAAGCUCACUUCAAGCCGAAACCAGGUAUUUUCAAUAUUUAUGAUUUGUGCAGGUAAGAAUGAGUUCUCCUAGUGGUUUAAGCUUCCCAAGAGACCAGGGAACGAGCCCCAGCAAGUGAGCAUCGUAGUUAGCUUGUUUUUGCUUAUUUUCCAUUUUUGUUGUUUAAGUACUUUCCUUUUCUUUUAAUUUCCAUUAAGUCCUGUUGCUGUGUCGUUUUUGGUUAUUUGAGUCGCCCUAGGGCUAGCUGACGAACCCCUUUAUAAGGUUCCCCUGCAGCUUUGUAACAUUCACGCUUUUUCUCAUAUCAAUAAAGUAGAACUUUCUUCCUCUCAAGCCGCCGCCUUGUAGAGACUUUUGCUUGUUCUUAGGUUGUGUGAUUCACCUAAGCUCGAGUGCCCUGCUGUAUCAGAGAUCCUUCCAUCAUCUCUGUGGUGCCAUCGAUCCACUUCACAUCCAUCCUUUGAUCUCACAAGAGAGAGCGUCACAGCCAGCUUGUUUGAUUCCGCAUCGACUUCAAGCCUCAUCCCUUUGAGUCUUGUCGUAUAAACUCACCCACAGAAACUUAAGAGAGUGCGCUACAGCCAGCUUAAGUUUCCCAUCGAUCCUCCUCGUAUUCACUCGUCCACGCUUCAAAACAUCAAGCUCGACCUAACGUCGAGAUAGCCGGUCGAGACCGCCACUCGCAGAUCCUCCUCGUAUUCACUCGUCCACGCUUCAAACCGGCAAGCUCGACCUAACGUCGAGACCGCCAGUCGAGUCCGCCACUCGAGCCAGUUCCUGCGCCUUUAUAAGUCUCUUAACCGAGUCUUAUAUCAUUUUGGUAUCAGAGCCUAAGGUUCCUACCUCAGGUUCUAUCCAUUCUAUCCCUUAGAAUUCAAUUAGCUUGUUUUAAAACUUUUGUUGCUUGUUUCUGCUUCUGUUUCAUUAUAAAAAGAAAAACCCCAUAAAAAGUUUCGUUUGAUUCUGUUUUCUAGGUUGUUAGUUUUGAUUAGUGCCUGUUUCAAGUCUUUUUAUUAAAACCAAAAAAAAAAAAAAAAAAAAAAAAAAAAAAUCAAAAGAAAUUGUUUACUUGUUCUUAUUUUGUUUUAUUUGUUUCUGUUUGCAUUUAGCACUUUUCAAUUCUGUGGUACCUUUAAUUUCUUGUUGUUUUUGUUGAGUGCAAGUGACAACAACGCCUAAGGAUUACUAUGGCUGACGGAGAUGAAGUCCCCCAGGAUGCUAUCAUGCAAAUGCUCACAGCUAUGAGAGAGGAGAUGAGAGGAAUUGGAGACCGGGUUGGAAGAUUGGAACAACCUCCACCACCUCAGCCUAGAGCUGGAGAGAGGAAUGUUCAAGCUAGGAGAAACAUCCGUGAAGAGGAUGAUGAGAUUCUGGACGUGGAGGAAGAUGACAUACCCCCUGAUCCUUUGUUGCGCCAACACCAACGAAGAGAAGACCCUCUGAGAAUGAAUCAAGCUAGACGAGUAGAACCUCGUGACACUUAUAAAGACCUGAAACUAACACCACCUACUUUUGCAGGAAAAUCUGAUCCAGAGGUCUACAUGGAUUGGGAGAGACGUCUAGAGCAUAUAUUUGAGUGUUAUAGCUAUGGAGAACGCAGGAAAGUAGCUGUUGCAGCCGCGCAGCUCACUGACAAUGCACUCGCAUGGUGGGACAGAAACGUGGCUGAGAGAAGGAGGCAACGUUUUGGACCAGUAGUGACAUGGAGUGACAUGAAAUACCUUCUACGGCUUAGGUAUGUUCCUGAACACUACCAUAGAGACUUACAAAAACGUUUUCGUAAGUUGUCUCAGGGAACCAGAAGCGUAGAUGAGUACUUUGAGGAAUUUGAGAAGCUUAUGAACUCCCUAGAGAUAGAGGAGUCUGAAGAAGCAUUGAUGGCCCAAUUCAUAGACGGCCUGCAAGAAAGAAUUCAAAGGAAGGUAGAGAGGGCGCAGUAUAGCGGGUUGCAUGAGCUGUUGCAUCUAGCUGUCCAAGUAGAACAACAGAUAAAGCGUAAGACGAACUUCACCAGUCGCAACAAGACAUCUCAAACAUGGGCGUCUAGCAGCUCAAAGCCUGUAGAUAAAGGGAAGAACGUGGAGAUUGAUUCUCGGUUCAAGAAGAACAAUGCUGAGACAUCCAAAACCAACAGACCUGAGCAAGGUAAGUUUCCCAAUAAUAACUCAAGAUCUCGUGAUAUAACUUGUUUUAAGUGUCAGGGAGGAGGACAUUACGCAAGAGACUGCCCCAACCAGAGAGCCAUGAUCAUCACUAAUAAUGGCGAGUAUGAGUCACAAGACGAGCUAGAUGAUGAAACCAUUGAGCGAAGUGAUGACAUUGAGUAUCCAGACAGUGGAGAAACUUUAGUGAUUCGGAGGGUACUUAGUGCAUUUGUGAAUCCUGAGGAGAAAGUACAAAGGGAAAACCUCUUUCACACAAGAUGCACAGUGAAAAACAAGGUAUGUAAUCUUAUCAUAGAUAGCGGGUCUUGUACUAAUGUUGCUAGCAAGCAUAUGGUGGACAGGUUAGGUUUUGAGAAGACUAGACAUCCUAGACCAUAUAGACUACGUUGGCUUAAUGAUCAAACCGAGCUAAAGAUAUCCGAGCAAGUGUCUAUACCGUUUAGUGUGGGCAAAUACCAAGAUGAAGUCACUUGUGACGUGGUACCAAUGCAAGCGGGACACCUUCUGCUAGGGAGGCCAUGGCAGUUUGACAGAGCCACACAACAUGAUGGACGAACAAACCACUACUCUCUUAUACAUAAUGGUCGUAAGUAUAACCUAGCACCUCUUAGUCCUUCUGAAGUUCAUGAACUUCAAAUUCGGAUGAACAAAGAGGUAGAAGUAAGAAAACCAACCCUUUAUUUAUCUUCUGGAGCUAUUUGUAAGACCAUUAGUGCCCAAGGCACUGUGCUACUAAUGAUGUUUAAAGAGUGUCUAAGCUCAGGUAUAAGUAAUCUGGAGAUUGCACCAACGGUUCAGCCCCUCCUCAACAAGUACAAGGAUCUAUUUCCCGAGGAGAUACCCCCUGGUUUACCCCCAAUUCGAGGCAUAGAGCACCAGAUUGAUCUUGUUCCAGGCUCAGCCUUACCCAACAAACCAGCAUAUCGGAUGAAUCCUGAAGAAAGCAAGGAAUUAGAAAGACAAGUAAGGGAGUUAAUGGAUAAGGGUUACAUUAGAGAGAGUUUGAGUCCGUGUGCUGUACCGGUACUCUUAGUUCCCAAGAAAGAUGGUACAUGGAGAAUGUGUGUGGACUGCCGCGCCAUCAACAACAUCACCAUCAAGUACAGACAUCCAAUCCCACGCUUAGAUGAUAUGCUAGACGAAUUAAGUGGUUCAACCAUUUUCUCCAAAAUUGAUCUGAAAAGUGGCUACCACCAAGUCAGAAUGCGUGAGGGAGAUGAAUGGAAAACCGCAUUCAAGACCAAGCAGGGUCUAUAUGAGUGGUUAGUUAUGCCCUUUGGCUUGACUAACGCACCGAGCACUUUCAUGCGACUAAUGAACCAGGUUCUUCGUUCUUAUAUCAGUAAAUUCGUAGUUGUUUACUUUGAUGAUAUUCUUAUCUACAGUAAGAACCUAAAUGAUCAUUUAGAACAUCUGGAACUAGUGCUUAAAACACUUCGAAAGGAAGGCCUAUAUGCUAACCUUAAGAAGUGCAUGUUUUGUACUAACCGUCUCAUUUUCUUAGGCUUUGUAGUGAGUGAACAGGGACUACAAGUCGAUGAAGAAAAGAUAAGAGCUAUCCAAGAAUGGCCUACUCCUACCACCAUUGGACAUGUGAGGAGCUUUCACGGCUUAGCAAGCUUCUAUAGGAGGUUUGUGAGAGAUUUUAGCACGGUGGCUGCACCACUCACGGCUGUGAUUAAGAAAAAUGCACCAUUCUCAUGGGGAGCAGCUCAAGAUACUGCGUUUAACACCCUCAAGGAUCGGCUCACACAUGCACCGGUUCUAGCUUUACCGGAUUUUGAAGAAAUGUUUGAGGUAGAGUGUGAUGCAUCAGGUUUGGGCAUUGGAGCGGUGCUGCAUCAAAGGAAGAGACCCGUGGCAUUUUUCAGUGAGAAGCUAAGCGGAGCCACAUUGAACUACCCUACUUAUGACAAGGAGUUGUACGCCUUGGUUCGUGCAUUGGAAACAUGGCAACACUACCUUCUGUCUAAGGAGUUCAUCAUUCACACCGAUCAUGAGACACUUAAGCAUCUACGAGGUCAGACUUCACUUAAGAGAAGACAUGCUAAGUGGCUGGAGUUCAUAGAAACGUUCCCAUAUGUUAUCAAAUAUAAGAAGGGAAAGGAGAACGUUGUAGCAGAUGCAUUGUCUAGGAGAUAUGCAUUGAUAUCAACAAUGGAGGCACGUGUAAUGGGUUUUGAACACAUCAAGGACCUCUACAAAGAUGAUCCAGACUUUAAGGAAGCUUAUGAAGCUUGUGGGAAGGGAGCUUAUGGAUCAUACUAUCUUCAUGAUGGGUUUCUGUUUCGUGACAAAAGGUUGUGUGUACCACAAGGAUCACUUAGAGAGUUACUGUUAAGAGAAGCUCAUGGUGGAGGCCUAAUGGGACAUUUUGGUGUUGACAAAACGUUAGCUGUAGUAGUUGACCAUUUCUUCUGGCCUCACCUCAAGAAAGACGUGGAGAAGCACUGCUCUCGUUGUGUCAUUUGUCACAGAGCUAAAUCCAGGUUACAUCCUCAUGGUCUUUAUUUACCUUUACCUAUACCUAACGCACCAUGGGUGGAUAUUUCUAUGGAUUUUGUCCUAGGACUACCAAAGAUAAGGCAUAAGGAUUCAGUUUUCGUAGUGGUGGAUCGGUUCUCAAAGAUGGCCCAUUUCAUACCAUGCGACAAGACCAAUGAUGCCACACAAAUCGCUGAUCUAUUCUUCAAAGAGGUGGUACGUUUACAUGGUAUACCUAGAACUAUUGUUUCUGACCGAGAUUCUAAGUUCCUAGGUCACUUUUGGAGAACUUUGUGGAGAAAGCUUGGAACCAAGCUGUUGUUCUCUACCACUUGUCAUCCUCAAACGGAUGGACAAACCGAAGUGGUAAGCCGUACCUUAUCUACUUUACUUCGAGUCACUCUUGGUAGAAAUCUGAAAACAUGGUUAGAUUGUUUGCCGUUUAUCGAAUUUGCUUAUAACCAUGCUACUCACUCGGCUACUAAGAUGUCUCCUUUUGAAGUUGUAUACGGAUUUAAUCCUUUGACGCCUUUGGACCUUUCACCGAUACCCCAAGCGGAGCAAAUCAAUUUAGAUGGUCUAAACAAAGGAGAGUUCGUGAAGAAGCUGCAUGAGAAGGUCCGAGACAACAUACUGAAGAAGACUGAAGAAUACAAGAAGAGGGCUGACAAAGGACGCAAGAAAUUGGUCUUUGAACCAGGAGAAUGGGUGUGGCUGCACAUGAGACCAGAGAGGUUCCCAAACCAAAGAAGCUCAAAGCUUUCACCUAGAGGAGAUGGCCCCUUCAAAGUGCUAGAGAAGAUCAACGACAAUGCCUACCGCUUGGAGCUGCCAAGUGAGUUCAAUAUGUCACAUAGUUUUAAUGUUGCUGAUCUAUCUCCUUUUGAUUCAGAUGAUCCAGUUUUGAGGACAAAACCUUCUGAAGAGGGUGGGAAUGAUGAGGUCAUCGACCUAAGCUGUGAAUCAAACCAAGACAAACCAAACAUUCCCGAAGUUAAGGAUGGGCCAAUGACUCGUUCUAAGGCAAGAAGGCUCAAGGAAGGGUUUAACAAGGCUGUAGAGACUCUACUCAGCACCAUGGAACUUGGAGAGAUGUCCAGAAUCACUCAAGUAUCUACGGUUUCUCAAGAAAGCUCAAGUGCACCCGAUGUGGACCUAACAGAGGACUUUGCACGUCUCAGCCUCAAGGAAGCAACUCCAACCGAAACCCAUUGUAAGUCUAUUUCAUUGGCAGGUGUAGGAGCUAAAAACAUCAAGAUUUCAACAAAGAAUACUUCAGAGCUGCAAGAUACGUCCAAGACAAGCAAUGGAACCAACAAGCUUCAAGUAGAACAAGAAGACAAGCUUGAAGGUAAUCACGUGGAAACUCUUGAAGAUCUUCAUCAAUUAGAGCUCAAAGGACUCCAAGAGGAGGAAACCAUCAAGGAAAUCAAGCUGGACGGACCAGACCCAGACAAGACCACUUCAGCCUCAAGCAAGCUCACUUCAAGCCGAAACCAGGUAUUUUCAAUAUUUAUGAUUUGUGCAGGUAAGAAUGAGUUCUCCUAGUGGUUUAAGCUUCCCAAGAGACCAGGGAACGAGCCCCAGCAAGUGAGCAUCGUAGUUAGCUUGUUUUUGCUUAUUUUCCAUUUUUGUUGUUUAAGUACUUUCCUUUUCUUUUAAUUUCCAUUAAGUCCUGUUGCUGUGUCGUUUUUGGUUAUUUGAGUCGCCCUAGGGCUAGCUGACGAACCCCUUUAU